AUAACGGUGUCUUUAGACACCACCCUUUAUUUAAUUUGAAAUUUAU
Non-coding RNA from Picea glauca (white spruce), 46 nucleotides. NCBI's taxonomy places the organism in Eukaryota, Viridiplantae, Streptophyta, Pinopsida, Pinales, Pinaceae. The record is from Rfam.